Molecule: ribosomal RNA, 253 nt
Filed under: uncultured bacterium
Lineage: Bacteria
Description: partial 16S ribosomal RNA
Rfam family: Bacterial small subunit ribosomal RNA
Source: RNAcentral
UACGGAGGGUGCAAGCGUUGUCCGGAUUUAUUGGGUUUAAAGGGUGCGUAGGCGGCCCGUUAAGUCAGUGGUGAAAGCCUCCAGCUCAACUGGAGAACUGCCAUUGAUACUGACGGGCUCGAGGAUGAGAUGGGUAGGCGGAACUCCAGGUGGAGCGGUGAAAUGCGUAGAUAUCUGGAGGAACACCGGUGGCGAAAGCGGCCUACUGGACCAUCACUGACGCUGAGGUGCGAAAGCUAGGGUAGCAAACGGG